UACCUUAUAGAAGGUAAGGCUGUCAGUCUUGCUGUACUUGCUACACCUUAUACAAGAUGCGUGGACUGUUGUUGUUGUUGCUGCUGGUUAUGGUAAUGGCUGCCUUUGUGGCUGCCAAACCUCACAGUGGCUCCCACGAGAUCUUCUUGAACCCAUACGGCUACGGCGGAGGUUUCGGGGGGUUCAACAGAUUUGGCUACGGUGGAGGCUAUUACCCAGGAGGCUACUACGGUGGUUGGCGUCCUGGAGGCUUCUGGAAUGGCGGGUUCUACGGCUAGUUGGAGCACCUCUUCCGUACUUGUGGUACUUCGCUCACUUCGACUAACAUUUAGCGCUGAUGUCAUGUACUAGUUAAACCUUCUGUACCAUGUGUCACAUUAUUUUUAACAAUCUGUAGCAGUAAUUUAUGUAACUAACAUUUAUCAAUAAAACAUAAUAAACAAA
Cherax quadricarinatus is the source of this 444-nucleotide long non-coding RNA. RefSeq lists it as uncharacterized. NCBI's taxonomy places the organism in Eukaryota, Metazoa, Arthropoda, Malacostraca, Decapoda, Parastacidae. The record is from RefSeq and is a predicted model, not a curated record.